Non-coding RNA from Heterocephalus glaber (naked mole-rat), 6319 nucleotides. The record is from RefSeq and is a predicted model, not a curated record. NCBI's taxonomy places the organism in Eukaryota, Metazoa, Chordata, Mammalia, Rodentia, Bathyergidae.
ACCCCCACAAAGUGGGGAGCCUGGAGCUCUGCAUAGCGGCCCCUCACAGGACCAGGUAACAGUCAUCAAGGGCGUCCAGCCAUGUCCUGUGCCUGAGAAUUUCACUCCUGCAUGUGUCUGCCUCACCACACCGGCUUCCAGACGGGUGGUUUCCUGGCACCCGGAAAGCCCCUGACUUCCAGCCAGCCGGUGUCCCCACCCGGGAGCUCCCCACCGCAUGGACACUGACAGAGCCCGGUCCACACGUGUGUGCAUCUUGCUGUGCACUGGGCUGGAACACCGUGGACAGAGCAGUAACCCGUCCUUCCAGGGAGGAGGUGCCCAGUGACACGUCGCCCUCCAGAGCAGUGGAGCCGAGUCUUCUGGCGUCUACUCAGGAGCCUGCUUCCUCUCUUCUCUUCAGCCCCGAGUACAUGGUGCCCUAGGCAGUGCACGGUCCACCCUCAGAGAGGGGGACAUGCCCUGGGGUCCAGAGCAGCUGUGUCCGAGGCCUGCUUGUCAGUGGGAGAGGCAGGCAUCUGUGCUGGGCCCGUUCCUUGCCUUUGUUUACCCCCCGGGUCUUUCAUGCCCCCAGUUUUCUUCCCAGGGGACAACAGGCAAUGUCUGGAGACACUGCUGGUGGCCAUGACCUGGGAGAGAUCCAUGGACAUCUGGCAAGUGAAGGCCAGAGAUGCUGACAAUGCACAGAGAUGUCUGCAGAGCACAGAACAGGACCCGGCAAAGAAUUUUGGUGCAAGACAUGCACAGAUGCCAGGAGCCGACGUGCUGUGCCUGGAUGCUCCGGGCCUGCACCAAGGGGCUCAGACUCGACGAGGACCAGAGCUGCCAGGGAGCCAGGAGCAACGCCUCCUCCCCUGUCCCCCGGAGAAGGGUGCAGGGGCCCCGGUGUGGUGCUGAGGAAGGGAAAAACCGAACUCCAUGGAAUUCCGCCAAUUGGGAUCCGUGCCCACCGGCGUCUGUGGCAAUGGAUUAAGACUCCACGUCUGUGGUGCAGACCUGAACCUUGCAGCAAACCGCUGGUUCUGGAUGUUCCUGCACAGUUGAACAGGAAGGAGCACCCGCUCCCGUCGCCUCUUUCCUGGUCCUUCCCCGGAGGAAACACACCGAGGAGCACGGAGACAGCUCGCCGCGGAGGGGCCCUUCCCUGGGGCCGGCAGAGCUGUGGAAAUGUCUUCAGCCACAUUUUCUGGGGAGGCUGAGUCUGUGCCGGGCCUCUUGCUGAGGAUCUCAAGUCCGAAGCCACACGGGGUCAGCUGGGGACGGCGGCCUCCGCGAAUCCCUGAGAGCCCCCAGAUCUCAGGUUCAGACACCUCCGCCCCAUGCCACCCCACGCCGCCCUGCAUCGCCCGUACCAUUGACAGCAGGAGGACACUGGGACAGAACUGGGGAGGAGGAACCUCAGGAUUUUCUCUCUGCUCCAUCCACACGAGGCCCGAGAACAACCUGACAAGAGUUGACAAGCAGAAAGGCAGAUGGGAAAUAACACCCUGUCCCUGCUGUGUGAUAUUCAGAACAGAGUUCGACUGCACCUGUAAGGAGCCCCGAGAUUUUAUUUGCCAACAACCUGCGCCCUCGUCGCUGUGCGGCAGGUGAGUUUGCAGACACAGCACAAGGCCAAGUCACCUAAAUCCUGUUUGCUUUUAAAUGCAGACCACUGAAAGAUCAGCCUUUCCCCUGUGCUCCCGUUCAUUCAUUCAUCCAGUCUGGGGCAACUCCUACUGGAGCCAAGUGGGUCUAAGCUCACCCCUCAGGGAACACAGGAAAUGGAACCGGAAGGGGAAGCCUGAGGGAUCCAGAGAGGCCCCAGACCUCCUUCCCGCCACAGCUGCUGCUUCUUUCACAUCCUGAGACGCACCGGGGGCUUCCCCGGGCCCCCCACGAUUGCUGUCACUGCUUCAAAUGCUUCUUUCCGUUUUCAACAAGGAAGGCUGAGAUGUUUGGCAGAGGUGCCGGGGAUCAAACCUAGGACCUCACGUGUGCACUGUACCGAGGGCCAUCCUUUCCCACAGAGGCCGCCCCUAGCCUCUGCCCUAGUAGGCAUCCAGUAAAUAUCUCCUGACUUUGCCUGGCUGAAUGCUUUUGUAAUUUUCCAAUUUCGGCUGUUAACAUGGAAACAUGGGCCCUCCGAACCAUCUGUCACAGAGUCGUCGGCCUGGAGACACCCGCCUCCCAUUUUCUUCCCCACUUCCCCUGAAGAGGCAGUGACGGUCAAAUUGGCUCAGCCUUGCCCAGGAGAUUCGAGCGUGCUUUUAUGCUAGCUUUACAUGUAUGAAUUUAUUACUGGGGCAUCUGAUAUUUUUAUUUCUAUUCUGUAUUUUAACACGUAAGGAACUAUCUUAGCACGGUGCAGGCUAGCAAGUUCCAAAAGUCCUAAGAGGCGAGAAAGCUGCUGUUUCACCCAGACAGUGACCCACAGCCAGGUUUCCUGCCUGGGAACCCCAUGCUCCCGGGGCCCGGGUCUCCCUGAGGGCUCUUCUGCUUCCACACAUGGAGGUCCGCCUGUCUGUCCUUAAAGAUGUUCUCCAACAGGAGUGCACAGAGGCGACAGCACACGUACCUCUGCCUCGUAAGUCUUUUAUCAAGCCGUACUCUGAGAUUAUACACUUUAGGGCUUGUUUUGAACCUCUUAAAUGCUCCCGAGAUUACUGCUCAGCGUUAAACGUCUGAAUGCUCUAGGGCCGAGAGCCUGGCAGCCACCUCCCCCAGCCGUGCCUCCCGCUGCCCCAGGGUUCUCCCCAAGGUUGUGGCUAUGAACCCCACUCUGCCUGGCUUGUGUUCACCAGCGCCUUGUCUUCCACGGUGGGUAACGGGAGUCCCCUGUGUCCAGCCCCGUCCCUGGGCUCCAGGGUGUUUGUGUGCUCGACCCUUGCUGUUGAAUGCUAAUUCAUCUCUUCCAUGUCUUUGAUUCCUAUGGUGCAACAGCGAAGGAGAGUGAGGCAUUUCUCCUGGUGUCGCAGCUACUCCUCGUGGUGGCAGUCACGACGGGCCCGACCCAGGGCUUAGCUGUAGCAUCUUCCCGCCUCACGGCAAGGGGCUCAGAGCACCCAAGAGGAGGGACCGACAGCGGGAGAGACCAAGCCAUGCGGUGUUUGUGACAUUGCAGACCAGGCUCUGUCCCUGCAACCUGCCCGGGGACUCUCAAACACCUUUCAGAGAGAAAUUGACCCCAUCUCCUCCGGCCAGCCUGCAGAUUUCAGUUCUCACUGCUGAAGCAAGUCAUGUGGCUUGGAGCACCCACGGGUCCAGUCCCACCUGUGUCCCUUCGGGUGACCUCUUGUCCUCAGGGAGGAGGACUGGCUGAGUGCAUGACAUCGCUGCAUGCACCGCCCUCAUCCACGAAGCCGGGUGCGAGUGGCGGGUGAUGAGCAGCCCGGGACAGGGCACCCGUGUGCUGCAUGGGGUCUGCACCUGACCCUGAGGCGGUGGAGCUGCCCCCGAGCCCAGACCGUGGCUCCGUGCCAUGCUGUGAGGGCACCACGGGGAACACGGCGCUGCGGAGCGGAGGCCAGAGCCCAGCUGGCUGGACCUGGUGCCCUCGGCACCGGCUGCGGGCCCUGAGCUGCUCCCACUUCUGCGCUCAUAGCAUAGCAGGCUCAGGAAGUACCCAAGACCCGGGGUUUGUACACAUGAAGAGGCUCACGGGCGUACUCCAUCUUGGAAUUUACAUUUCAUGAAAGUUGAUGCAUAUUUGAGAACACUGAUGUUAAUUUUGAUAUGAUGAGGCUUCCCUUUGUUUGUUUGUUUUGGUGUUUUGAGACAGGGUCUAACUGUGAAGUUCACUAUGAACGCCACACUAUGUAGCCCAGGGCAGCCUCAAACUCACAGCAAUCUGCCUGUCUCAGCCUCCCAAGUGGUGGGAUUUCGGGCAUGUGCUGCCAUGCCCAGCUAGUGUGGCCCUCCUCUCCCUCUAAGCUAUGCCCCGGAGGAGAUGACUCACACUCAGGGUCAUCUCUCCUUUCUCACAGGCAGCCAGGUGGAAGGGUUUGAAGAACCACCUCCCCCCAUUGCCGCCAGUGCAGCAGGUGCGGGAACAUCGCCUGGAAUUCACGGCCCAAGCCCGAUGCACCCCGGGGUGGAGGCCCAGCUGUGGGCAAUGCGGCCCCCACCCCACCUGCAGACAGGGCCACGAGGCCCUGCCUUGACUGGGGUCCUCAGCUCUGAGAAAGGCCGGGUGCAGCUCUAAGUCUUCCCCUCCCUGUGCAGAGCCUGAGGCUCAGAAAUGGGGCUCCUGGGCUCCCAGACCUCAGUGAGGUCCGGGCCCGAGGUCUGGGUGACACAGGACAGCCAGUGGGCCCUGCGGAGGGAUGCUGCUUCUUGUCUUCCUUCUGAAGUCCUGGGUGGCUCUGGGGUCACUCUCUUCUCUGCAGGGACUGGGGACCCCUAAGUGACAGUGCGGCCAGGGAGUGUGGGUUUAGCAGGUGAUGUGAAUGAUGCCUAAUUCUUGCAUUUCCAGGGACUCAGUGUAGGCUGGGCACUGAAGUGACUGGGAUCCCUUGUGAAGCUGGAAGCACUCUGCCCGGGAGGUGUGUGUUCCCUGUGGACCCGUGCUGUGCCCGGGUGCCACGCACCCCGCUUUAUACACAGACAGCUGACACCCCGAGGGGCGUCACAUGGCAAGGGGUGAGUGGGUUCAAGCCCGAAGCCUGGCCCCGUGGUGCCCACUCCUGACGGCCUCCACGCCCGAUCCAUGGGGAAUGGAGCCACCCUGCCUCUGCCGCUGGAAACAGAACAGCAAGGCGCCAACGAAGGUCAGCAAGCAGCGUCCCGGGUAGGAGCUCUGUUCUGCUCAGCCUCACCCACUUGUUCCACGUGAUCCUUCAAACAUUUCCUAGACAUCGGGGUUUUGGACGCAGCUGCGAGAGUCCAGGCCAGCUGGGAGUCCUCUGAGGGAGGAGACCUUCACUCUCCUGAGGGAGGAGACCUUCACUCUCCUGAGGAGAAUGCAGUCAAGGGCACCCCGGGAGCUCGGGACUCGCUGUGGAGUCCAGGACAGGCGGCAUCAGGAAGGAGAGCAGCAGACCCGGGGCCAGCACAGCCAGAGACGCGUGGAGGGCACAAAGACGGUGCAGCAAGGGCUGUCUCUUCCACAGUGGGACCCCGCACGCAGAGUCGAUCAACUGACAAUCAACUGCUCAGGCUGGGGGCAAACUUCUUGUCCUUAGCCCAAAAAUAACUCGAAAUGAAUCAUGGACCGAAAUGUACAACGUGCAACUCUAAAACUCCUUGAAGGUAACAUGGAAGAAAGUUUGGAGGACCUCAGAUCUGGGGAUGACUGUUAGACACAUCAAAGGCACAAAGCAUCAAAGAAAAACUUGAUGAGCUGGACCUCAUUAAAAUAAAAACUUGCACUCUGCAAAGAGACUGCCCAGAAUAUGAGAAGAUAACCCACAGGUUGGGAGAGGGUAUUUGCAAAUGAUCUGUUUGGUAAAUGGUGCUGUCCAAAAUAUACAAAGAACUCUUAAAAUUCAACAAUAAAAAAUUGAAUAACUCGAUUUAUAAAAGGGCACGGUCCCUGAACAGGAAUCUCCCUGGACAGAGGGAGCGUGGCAGGAGAUGUCCCCUAGGGAACUACACACGCAACAGGGGCCGGCCACUGGUACACACCUGCAGGAGAGGUCCCGACGUCACCAAAUGGAAUGGGGACGGGCAGCAAGGCCCUCCUUGGCCGUCGCUGUAGGUGUGCAGAGCGGCAGAGCUACUUUGGAAGACAUCCGGAGGGAUCUUACAGAGCUAAUAGACUCUUUCCCUGCAGUUCAAUAGUCACGCUCCCAGGCCUUUACCCACAGGAUUUGAAAACUUCUGUCCACAUAAACACCCAUGCCCACAUGUUCGUGGCAGCUUUAUCUGAGACGACUUAAAAGCGGACAUGGUGUCUGUUGGGAGAUGAGAGGCUCUCUGCUCCGAGGGCAUCCAGACAAUCCGUGUUACCAGGCUGAGAGAAGCCAGCUCUAAAGCCAGGGGCAGGCAUCGGAGAAGCUCGUGUGUGCAGCAGGCAGUCAGAGAAACCAAGGGCCCCAAGAGACUGCACUGCAGGAUUCCAGCUCAGGACUCUCCGGGGAGCUGGAAGCUGGGGCGAAGGAAAAGCUGGGUGGGGCCCAAGGGCUGAGCGGGGGGCUCGGGCGCUACUCCGGGGCACUGCAGCGCUGCUGCGUGCAAGGCCUGGUCCACACCCACGGGAUGCCCGGAGCACCCUGCUGUGCACUGGGGCCCUGUGUGGUCACGCGUCCAUCGGUGGGGACCUCACAGUGGAGCAGCGUGAUGCGUGGGGACAGGGCUAUGUCCCACAAGCUCUACUUUCUGCUUCAUUUUGUACUGAACA